RNAcentral lists this long non-coding RNA (276 nucleotides) under Lathyrus oleraceus (garden pea). RNAcentral describes it as "Pisum sativum (pea) long non-coding RNA (PSAT_LNC013865)". Lineage: Eukaryota; Viridiplantae; Streptophyta; Magnoliopsida; Fabales; Fabaceae. The record is from RNAcentral.
AAAGCAUUAACAACACAUCACUUAACAUAAAAACUACAUUAUAUUAACUACCCAUUGCUCAACAUAAAAGGUUUAGAUCAUAAUGAGCUUAGCACAUACAACCAUACUGGUUCUUAAGCUAAUUCUUCUCAAAGAUAUAGUGGAAAAGAAAUAACAACCUAAGAGAAACGUCAUCGUCUUCUUGAAAUGGUUAAUCACCAAGAGACAACUUAUAUCAAACCAUGCAUCAACAUUAGGUACUUGAGAUAGUGAGAAGAAGAAGAAUCUCAAUUUUCA